GUGCAGCAGUCGCGCAACCUCUGCAAUACGCGAAAGCGUGUCAGGGCUACCCCGAGUGCCGUCCGCUGAGGAUGGCUUUUCUCCGGUGUAGUAAGCCGGAGGAAUAAGGAGAGGGCAAGUCUGGUGUCAGCCGCCGCGGUAAUACCAGCUCUCCGAGUGGUAGGGACGAUUAUUGGGCCUAAAGCGUCCGUAGCCGGCCAAGCAAGUUUCCCGUUAAAUCCAGCGAUCCAAUCGUUGGACUGCGGGAAAUAGUGUUUGGUUAGGGGGCGAGAGGGCCAACGGUAUUCCCGGGGUAGGGGUGAAAUCCCAUAAUCCCGGGAGGACCACCAGUGGCGAAGGCUGUUGGCUAGAACGCGCUCGACGGUGAGGGACGAAAGCUGGGGGAGCGAACCGGAUUAGAUACCCGGGAGUCC
This 413-nucleotide ribosomal RNA is filed under the name uncultured crenarchaeote. RNAcentral describes it as "partial 16S ribosomal RNA". It matches the Rfam family "Archaeal small subunit ribosomal RNA", at positions 330 to 747 of the family's 1478-position model. The record is from RNAcentral. Lineage: Archaea; Thermoproteati; Thermoproteota.